RNAcentral lists this ribosomal RNA (292 nucleotides) under uncultured bacterium. RNAcentral's name for it is "partial 16S ribosomal RNA". It matches the Rfam family "Bacterial small subunit ribosomal RNA", at positions 505 to 796 of the family's 1533-position model. The record is from RNAcentral.
GUGUCAGCAGCCGCGGUAAUACGUAGGUGGCAAGCGUUGUCCGGAUUUACUGGGCGUAAAGGAUGCGUAGGUGGAUAUUUAAGUGGGAUGUGAAAUACCCGGGCUCAACUUGGGUGCUGCAUUCCAAACUGGAUAUCUAGAGUGCAGGAGAGGUAAGUGGAAUUCCUAGUGUAGCGGUGAAAUGCGUAGAGAUUAGGAAGAACACCAGUGGCGAAGGCGACUUACUGGACUGUAACUGACACUGAGGCAUGAAAGCGUGGGGAGCAAACAGGAUUAGAUACCCGAGUAGUCC